RNAcentral lists this ribosomal RNA (496 nucleotides) under Ehrlichia canis. RNAcentral describes it as "bacterial SSU rRNA". It matches the Rfam family "Bacterial small subunit ribosomal RNA", at positions 70 to 596 of the family's 1533-position model. Lineage: Bacteria; Pseudomonadati; Pseudomonadota; Alphaproteobacteria; Rickettsiales; Anaplasmataceae. The record is from RNAcentral.
UUUAUAGCCUCUGGCUAUAGGAAACUGUUAGUGGCAGACGGGUGAGUAAUGCGUAGGAAUCUACCUAGUAGUACGGAAUAGCCAUUAGAAAUGGUGGGUAAUACUGUAUAAUCCCCGAGGGGGAAAGAUUUAUCGCUAUUAGAUGAGCCUACGUUAGAUUAGCUAGUUGGUGAGGUAAUGGCUUACCAAGGCUAUGAUCUAUAGCUGGUCUGAGAGGACGAUCAGCCACACUGGAACUGAGAUACGGUCCAGACUCCUACGGGAGGCAGCAGUGGGGAAUAUUGGACAAUGGGCGAAAGCCUGAUCCAGCUAUGCCGCGUGAGUGAAGAAGGCCUUCGGGUUGUAAAACUCUUUCAAUAGGGAAGAUAAUGACGGUACCUAUAGAAGAAGUCCCGGCAAACUCUGUGCCAGCAGCCGCGGUAAUACGGAGGGGGCAAGCGUUGUUCGGAAUUAUUGGGCGUAAAGGGCACGUAGGUGGACUAGUAAGUUAAAAGUG